ACACCCUUCCCGGCCGGCCAGCAUCUGUAGUGGGCGAGGAUGAGGAACCAGGUGAAGUGGAUGUCUUCUCAUUAGCCCAUCCCAAUCCCCAGCCCGAAGAGGCAGAAACCAUCCCGGGUUUGAGUCUUGUCUUGAGCACCCUGAGGCCAGGACACAGGUUGAGUUGGUUUUGUUUUGACAUGUUGGUUCAAAAUAAGAUCACCCCUUUGGAAAAUCACCUUGCUAAAGCCAUUGACUCCACUUCGACUUGAGGGGUUUAAUUGAAAACAGGAGAGGCACGCUGACACCCCACAGGCCUCCAGCCUGAAAGAGACCUCCAAAGAGGCACGCUGGCCCAGAGGAGGGUACGCGCCACUUCAAAAGCAAGGGCCAGCGAAGGAAAAGUUGUAUCCCAGGAGGAAGGUUUUGCUUCAAAAGUAGUUUUUAUGUGUGUGGCACGCAGGAUCUUAGUUCCCCAACCAGGGAUGGAACCCAUGGAAGUGCAGAGUCCUAACGCCUGGAUAGCCAGGGAAUUCCUAGGAACUCUAUUUUAAUCCCCAUGGACCCCUGCCCCUUGCAUUGGCUCCUCUGUCCAUGCCAGGCUCCUCUGUCCGUGGGACUUUCCAGGCCUGGAAGGACCAGCACUUCCUCCAAGAGUUUCUCCAUCACCUCCCUAUGUGGUCCUGAACCGUUCAAUUUCCUUGACGUCAGUUUCCUGGGUCAAGACAAUUUGUUCACGCUCUUCAACCCUCUGACUUGCUCUGACUGUGAAUAGCAGUGGCAACAUCACAGUGUCUCUGUGGGGCUAACAAUUGAGUUCCUGUUGGUGGGACUUCCUGGCGGUCCAGUGGUCAAGGUUCUGUGCUUCCAGUGCAGAGG
Molecule: long non-coding RNA, 858 nt
Organism: Bos taurus (domestic cattle)
Lineage: Eukaryota; Metazoa; Chordata; Mammalia; Artiodactyla; Bovidae
Source: Ensembl